Molecule: non-coding RNA, 2307 nt
Organism: Callorhinus ursinus (northern fur seal)
Lineage: Eukaryota; Metazoa; Chordata; Mammalia; Carnivora; Otariidae
Source: RefSeq, a predicted model, not a curated record
UGGUUUUAAAAAGGAGUUUGAAACUGUAUCACCCACUAUUUUACAUGAACCCCAAUGGCCCUAGCUAAGGCCUGUCUUUCCCUACUUCUUACUUAAGAGCAAGAGACUCACUCGCCUUCCAUCUGAGGAGGGAUAGCAUGAGGAGGAAGGAGGAACAAUCGGAGUCAUCAGAAGGAAAAAAAGCUAUUUCUCUAGCUCUUAUUUUGUGCCAAUAUCUGUGUUAACCUUUACAGACAUACCCACCUUUGAUCCUUGUACCAACCCUAUGAUGUAUGUAACACUUCCGUUUUGGAGAGGUGGAGUCACUUACCCAGGGUCAUAAAAGGUAGAAAGUGGAAAAGCAAUGAUUUGAACCUAAUCCUGUUUGCCUCAAAGCUCAUAGAGCUUAGCCACAGUGAUAGUUUGCCAGAUUGACACAUACAUCCAUGCAGUUUAGGCUUCAAGUCGAACCCAUCUACCAUGUAGGUUUUGUUGUUUGUCGUGUCCAUUAGUCUAAGUGACCCCACCCUUAGCCUGCACGGGUCAGAUUCGUGGUGUAUCUCAAUUCUCUACCACCCUUUACUCAAGAAGGCCUAAAGCCCCAUAUUUUCCCCAGGUAAGAGUCCCUGCCUGACUACACUACACCAGCAGGUGUAGUGGACAGUAGGCAAGCGAGCAUGAAACCAACAGGUUCUGUUUUACUUUCAUGAGCUAACGAGAUGAUAAAAAGACAGAGUGUUAUAGCUCCAUAGAGAAUAGCAUAUUCUUUGCCUUGACAAUGCUUCCUCCUUUACCCCCCUUUUCUCUCUUGUUCUAACUCUUGCUUUCCCUCUCAUGCUCUUUCACUCAUACACACACACACACACACACACAAACCCAGAUUGGGGGCUUAUACAAAACACAAAGAAGGGAACGUUUUGUAAGGUUAAAAGGAAGCCAUCGAGAAAGGCUAGCUGGAGCUCCAGUUUCUCCUGAAUAGUCUUUCUUGUUAUUUCAAGGCUGAUUGACUUAUAACUGCAUCCACAGCUAGCUCACAUCGGUUCCUUUAUCAGCCCGAGUGAGACUUCCUGUGGACUGGCCCAGCUUCCUGAUUUAUUUCCUUUUUCCUUUGGCAGAACAAAGAAAACCAGAGCUCCAAGGAUACUUGGGACCAAACAUAAUUUAGCACCAAAGAAGCUAUUAUUUAAAAUAUGUUCAGUCUCAGUGCAUAGGGCCGAGAACCUGCCUUUGCAGUUUUCCACGUGCAAUUAUCAGGGGUCAACGAGCCACUUGAACUCAUCCUAGUUGUAGUUGGAUUUCAUUCAAAGGGGGAAAUUGAGCCCAUUCUCCUCACUAACACCACAUGAGCACCCCCCCAACCCCAUACACACAGGCACACCUUCAAGAGUUACAUGGAAUGCCUCUGUAUUGAGGGUUUACUCUUUUGUUAACCUAACUCAACCCCACAGACCAGCAAAGAAACCCUCUUCUUUUGAAAUUUCAUUCUAGCUGUGUUUAAAGUUCUAACUCUAGAAACCUGCCCAUAAGAAAAGAAGCUUUGAGCUCUACCCAAAUGGGCAUUGACGUCAGUCGAAGAAGAAAUUCCAGAAAUUGGGAUGAAGGCAUUGCUUUCCUCUCUUGCCUGUAGGAUGCCAUAUCACUUCUUACCGCUUGGCCUCACCACCUGCUGUGCACGUUAUUUCUGACAAACCUUUAGGCAUAAUCCAGAGAAAUAGGGAACAUGACUGAGGGAGCUAUCUGCACCCCUGUCGUAUCGCCUAAAGCAAAUAUCACAAGCUGUCAACUGAUAGCACGCCCCCGUACUCUUAGAAGAUAGGAGGCCAGUGCACCGGAGAGAUCACUGAGGCUUCAGGAUGGGAUGUGUCCGAAGAUGAGAACUAGGCAAAAGAUACUCAGAGCAGAACUCGGGUAUUCUUGUGCCCAAACAACACAUUUGCAAUAAGGGUGUUUCCAGGAGCUAAGUUAUCAAGACUUCACGAAUUCAUGCUUUCUUUGUUCACCUGUCUUAUAGCCUUACAAAUGUAUAAUCCUCCUGGGGAACUGAAGAUGGCACUUUCCAUAGAAAACAGCUAGGCAUCUAAGAAAUCGUGCAGGCGCCCAAAUGUUACUAGUCACCUUUUUGGCUCUUUUUUUUUUUUUUUUUUAACAAAGAUCACUGAUUUGAAAUGGAAAUCAAAUUGAAACUGAAAUGUACCUCCCCAGGCAAGCAAGAUACUUCUAAGAGGAGAGGGUUAAUUCACCAUUGUUAAUUCACACUGAUUUCUCCCACCCCAGUCCUCAAGGUAAUCAUCUCUAGAUGAAAAGAGAUUGAGGGACGCCUGGGUGGCU